Molecule: signal recognition particle RNA, 299 nt
Filed under: Saimiri boliviensis boliviensis (Bolivian squirrel monkey)
Lineage: Eukaryota; Metazoa; Chordata; Mammalia; Primates; Cebidae
Description: Metazoan signal recognition particle RNA (ENSSBOG00000004252.1)
Rfam family: Metazoan signal recognition particle RNA
About the family: The signal recognition particle (SRP) is a universally conserved ribonucleoprotein. It is involved in the co-translational targeting of proteins to membranes. The eukaryotic SRP consists of a 300-nucleotide 7S RNA and six proteins: SRPs 72, 68, 54, 19, 14, and 9.
Source: RNAcentral
ACCGGGCAUGGUGGCGCAUACUUGUAGUCCCAGCUACUUGGGAGACUGAGGUGGGAGGAUCACUUGAGCUCAGGAUUUCUGGGCUGUAGUGCACUAUGCCAGUCGGGUGUCCACACAAAGUUUGGCAUCAAUAUGGUGAGCUCCCGGGAGCAGGGGACCACCAGGUUGCCUAAGGAGGGGUGAACCAGCCCAGGUCGGAAAUGGAGCAGGUCGAAACUCCAGUGCUGAUCAGUAGUGGGAUUGCACCUGUGAAUAGCCACUGCACUCCAGCCUGGGCAACAUAGGGAGACCCUGUCUUU